Molecule: ribosomal RNA, 253 nt
Filed under: uncultured bacterium
Lineage: Bacteria
Description: partial 16S ribosomal RNA
Rfam family: Bacterial small subunit ribosomal RNA
Source: RNAcentral
UACGUAGGGUGCAAGCGUUGUCCGGAAUUAUUGGGCGUAAAGAGCUCGUAGGCGGUCUGUCGCGUCUGCUGUGAAAACUCGGGGCUUAACCCCGGGCCUGCAGUGGGUACGGGCAGACUAGAGUGCGGUAGGGGAGACUGGAAUUCCUGGUGUAGCGGUGAAAUGCGCAGAUAUCAGGAGGAACACCGGUGGCGAAGGCGACUACCUGGCCUGUUCUUGACGCUGAGGCGCGAAAGCUAGGGGAGCAAACGGG